RNAcentral lists this ribosomal RNA (253 nucleotides) under uncultured bacterium. RNAcentral describes it as "partial 16S ribosomal RNA". It matches the Rfam family "Bacterial small subunit ribosomal RNA", at positions 524 to 776 of the family's 1533-position model. The record is from RNAcentral.
CACGUAGGGCGCAAGCGUUGUCCGGAAUUAUUGGGCGUAAAGAGCUCGUAGGCGGUCUGUUGCGUCCGCUGUGAAAACUCGGGGCUUAACUCCGGGCCUGCAGUGGGUACGGGCAGACUAGAGUGCGGUAGGGGAGACUGGAAUUCCUGGUGUAGCGGUGAAAUGCGCAGAUAUCAGGAGGAACACCCAUGGCGAAGGCAGCUCUCUGGUCGACCUCUGACGCUGAGACGCGAAAGCGUGGGGAGCGAACGGG